GAUGAAGAACGCAGCAAAAUGCGAUAAGUAAUGUGAAUUGCAGAAUUCAGUGAAACAUCGAAUCUUUGAACGCACAUUGCGCCCGCUGGUAUUCCGGCGGGCAUGCCUGUUCGAGCGUCAUUUCAACCCUCAAGCCCCCGGGUUUGGUGUUGGGGAUCGGCUCUGCCCUUCUGGGCGGUGCCGCCCCCGAAAUACAUUGGCGGUCUCGCUGCAGCCUCCAUUGCGUAGUAGCUAACACCUCGCAACUGGAACGCGGCGCGGCCAUGCCGUAAAACCCCAACUUCUGAAUGUUGACCUCGGAUCAGGUAGGAAUACCCGCUGAACUUAAGCAUAUCAAUAAGCGGAGGA
Molecule: unclassified non-coding RNA, 348 nt
Filed under: soil metagenome
Description: partial contains 5.8S ribosomal RNA, internal transcribed spacer 2, and large subunit ribosomal RNA
Rfam family: 5.8S ribosomal RNA (bases 1-120)
Source: RNAcentral